This is a long non-coding RNA of Mastomys coucha (southern multimammate mouse), 320 nucleotides long. RefSeq lists it as uncharacterized. The transcript is spliced from 2 exons. The record is from RefSeq and is a predicted model, not a curated record. Lineage: Eukaryota; Metazoa; Chordata; Mammalia; Rodentia; Muridae.
CCAGGAUCCUGGCCCUGAAGGAUUGGACAGAUGCAUGGUGCUGCUGUGGUUUACCUAAUGAAGCAUAGUGCUUUCAUCAUCAGGCACAUCUGUGGACAGCUAGAAGUGUCUUUACAGCCAGCUCCUGGACCUAGCGAUGAGACAUGUCACCUCUAGGCGACAGCACCACUCUCGCCAUGGCACCUGCAUUGGCACCCGCAUUGGCACCCAUUACAAGUCCCUUUGCGCAUGCAUCCCAUACAUCAAGGCCCAGAUAAAAGACCCGAAGACUCUCUUCACAGAGACCGCCUCUGUCAAUAAAACCUCUGAUGGGAGACCUA